CUAGUGGGUUUUAGAAACUGGUGGGCUCAGAUAGCCAAUUAAUCACUGAAGCGGCUACAUGUGUUUUGCUGUCACAGAGUCUUUGUUUAAUUGAGGUGAAUGACAACGAAGAGCCUGUAGAUGAAGACAUGCAAUUACCAGCCUAUUUCCUUAUCUAGGCUUAGGGUUUAUGACCAUAUAAGGACCAUAUUCAGUCACAUAAAGUACUUGUACAUGAAUAGUGCAAGGAGUUAAUGAGUACAGUCUGUGCGUGUAUGUGUGUGUGUGUGUGUGUGUGUGUGUGUGUGUGCUUUUCAUUAGCCUAAUAGGCAGUCAAAUUGGUAUUACUACAGCCCAAUAAGAUACUUGAUAUCCCCUCCUCUGUUUCAAUUACUGAAACCACAGUGAAGAGAAAUAUAAUGGAAAGCAAAAUUAUUGUCAUUGUUGAUGAGGUUUCCUCUCUCAUCUGGUCUGUGUGUGGUGUCAGUGUGUGUCUGAUUGAGGUUGAAGGGGGACGUGCUGUAUGUGUGUGUGUGUUGUGUGUCUGAUUGAGGUUGAAGGGGGACGUGCUGUAUGUGUGUGUGUGUGUGUGUGCAUCCGUGUGUGUGCGCAACUACAAGUAUGUGUGUGUGUGUGUGUGUGUGUGUGUAUGUGCUCGUGUGUCACCAUCAAAUGUACAUUUGUUGAUUGCUAGGCAUACAAAUCAGAUGAUUUAUUGGUACAUUUGAAAUUAGGUGUAGUUGUGUCCGCAACCGGACUAGAUUGUGAAUGACUCUUGGUGGAAUGCAUUGCUUGACUGCCGUGAGGGUGAUCAGCACAAUAUCAUUUGCGAACUGCUGCCACCCAAACAAUUCUCGAGAUUGAGUUUGUUGAGCAGAGACUGUGUGUGUUUUUGGUUCGACAAAGCAGUGUCAUAACAUUCAAUAAUCAUUGAAUUGCAGUCAGUGUUGCACCAUGCGAUCAUUUAUCAGUUAUGAUGUCUUUGUAUUCUCUACACUGCCUGGAGCAUGAUCUGUUGAGCCUGAGCUCAUAUAUGACAGACAGGUGUGGUGAGAUCAUAUAUGACAGACAGCUGUGGUGAGAUCAUAUAUGACAG
Oncorhynchus tshawytscha (Chinook salmon) is the source of this 1075-nucleotide long non-coding RNA. The record is from Ensembl. Lineage: Eukaryota; Metazoa; Chordata; Actinopteri; Salmoniformes; Salmonidae.